Molecule: long non-coding RNA, 625 nt
Filed under: Gadus morhua (Atlantic cod)
Lineage: Eukaryota; Metazoa; Chordata; Actinopteri; Gadiformes; Gadidae
Description: lncRNA (ENSGMOG00000025889.1)
Source: RNAcentral
AGUAAUGGUGUGGGGUUGCAUUUCUUAGUGUUCCCUUUAUUUUUUUGAGCAGUGUAUAUCAUCCAAGCAAAAAAAAACAAGUCUUCUUUCUCAAUAACAUAGACCAGCCCAGCAGUGAGUCUGAGGACGCUGAUGCUGCUCCUGCUCCUGCUCCUGCCCCUGCCGCUGGCACUUCCUGUGUACCUGUCCCUGAGGCUGCCCCUGCCCCAAGACCACAGGGCGGGGCGAAGAGGAAGAGAGCCAGGGUACCGGAGGGGAAUACAAAUGUCCAGACAGCCAUCCUCCAGGCCCUGCAGAGGCAUAAUUCUGUGCCUACCCCUACCCCGCUUUCUGGGAAUGAGCACUUUGCCAUGGGCCUAGUUCCUUCCCUGGAUAGAUUGCCACCUGAAGUACUGGAGUACGUUAAAUUCCAAAUCCGUAAGGUCAUAUUUGACAAUUCUAAUUUCACCGUUCAUUUGGAACCUAUUUAAGCUUAUUAGCUAGUGGUGGUGACAAUCUCUCCAGGGAAAGAACUAGGCUGAUGUCACUGUUAACUGUUCAUUUGUUAUUGUUCUGUUCUGUUUAUAUUAUUCUAUUUUAUUUUUAUUUUUAUUUUUAUAAUUAUUUUUUAAAUAAAAUAUUUCUU